RNAcentral lists this ribosomal RNA (492 nucleotides) under uncultured bacterium. RNAcentral describes it as "partial 16S ribosomal RNA". It matches the Rfam family "Bacterial small subunit ribosomal RNA", at positions 29 to 507 of the family's 1533-position model. The record is from RNAcentral.
AGUGAACGCUGGCGGUAGGCCUAACACAUGCAAGUCGAACGGCAGCACAGUAAGAGCUUGCUCUUACGGGUGGCGAGUGGCGGACGGGUGAGGAAUACAUCGGAAUCUACUUUUUCGUGGGGGAUAACGUCGGGAAACUUACGCUAAUACCGCAUACGACCUACGGGUGAAAGCAGGGGAUCUUCGGACCUUGCGCGAUUGCAUGAGCCGAUGUCGGAUUAGCUAGUUGGCGGGGUAAAGGCCCACCAAGGCGACGAUCCGUAGCUGGUCUGAGAGGAUGAGCAGCCACACUGGAACUGAGACACGGUCCAGACUCCUACGGGAGGCAGCAGUGGGGAAUAUUGGACAAUGGGCGCAAGCCUGAUCCAGCCAUACCGCGUGGGUGAAGAAGGCCUUCGGGUUGUAAAGCCCUUUUGUUGGGAAAGAAAAGCAGCAGGUUAAUACCCCGCUGUUCUGACGGUACCCAAAGAAUAAGCACCGGCUAACUUCGUG